Molecule: non-coding RNA, 147 nt
Filed under: Bacillus sp. (in: firmicutes)
Lineage: Bacteria; Bacillati; Bacillota; Bacilli; Caryophanales; Bacillaceae
Also listed under: 1 other name
Source: RNAcentral
AAAUACAUAAACGAAAUAGGUGUCUGAUCUAGGACUUAGAAGGGAAGUUGGUGAGUGCCAACGCGGUCCCGCCACUGUAUGAAGAUAUGGGAUGGUACCGUAACGUAGACCAUAAGCCAGGAGGCCUGCCUGUAUUCGUGCACCCAA